UAAUUUGCAGAGGAUGCUUUUGGCGAGGUGCCUUCCGAGUUCCCUGGAACGGGACGCCAUAGAGGGUGAGAGCCCCGUCUGGUUGGACACCGAGCCUCUGUAAAGCUCCUUCGACGAGUCGAGUAGUUUGGGAAUGCUGCUCUAAAUGGGAGGUAUAUGUCUUCUAAAGCUAAAUACCGGCCAGAGACCGAUAGCGCACAAGUAGAGUGAUCGAAAGAUGAAAAGCACUUUGAAAAGAGGGUUAAACAGUACGUGAAAUUGUUGAAAGGGAAGCGCUUGUGACCAGACUUGGGCCCGGUGAAUCAUCCAGCGUUCUCGCUGGUGCACUUUGCCGGGCCCAGGCCAGCAUCAGUUUGCCUCGGGGGAUAAAGGCUCUGGGAAUGUGGCUCCUCCGGGAGUGUUAUAGCCCGUUGCAUAAUGCCCUGGGGCGGACUGAGGUUCGCGCAUCUGCAAGGAUGCUGGCGUAAUGGUCAUCAGCGGCCCGUCUUGAAACACGGACCAAGGAGUCGUCUUCGUAUGCGAGUGUUCGGGUGUAAAACCCCUACGCGGAAUGAAAGUGAACGCAGGUGAGAGCUUCGGCGCAUCAUCGACCGAUCCUGAUGUUCUCGGAUGGAUUUGAGUAAGAGCAUACGGGGCCGGACCCGAAAGAAGGUGAACUAUGCCUGUAUAGGGUGAAGCCAGAGGAAACUCUGGUGGAGGCUCGCAGCGGUUCUGACGUGCAAAUCGAUCGUCAAAUAUGGGCAU
Molecule: ribosomal RNA, 744 nt
Filed under: Conoideocrella luteorostrata
Lineage: Eukaryota; Fungi; Ascomycota; Sordariomycetes; Hypocreales; Clavicipitaceae
Description: LSU rRNA
Rfam family: Eukaryotic large subunit ribosomal RNA
Source: RNAcentral